AACCCAUGAUGUGGGCAGAGUCUCAUCAUGUCCUUAUAUCUUUCCCAUGCCUCAAAAAGGGAUUCACUGUCAGCUUGUCUAAUUGGUUUCUUAACAUUGUUGUU
Lathyrus oleraceus (garden pea) is the source of this 104-nucleotide small nucleolar RNA. NCBI's taxonomy places the organism in Eukaryota, Viridiplantae, Streptophyta, Magnoliopsida, Fabales, Fabaceae. The record is from RefSeq and is a predicted model, not a curated record.